CUAUGAGAAGCGAUAUAUUGCAAUCAGUUUCGACCUGAUAGAAGGGCACCCCCUCUGCUG
RNAcentral lists this transfer RNA (60 nucleotides) under Lithobius maqinensis. Its description in RNAcentral is "tRNA-Arg". Lineage: Eukaryota; Metazoa; Arthropoda; Chilopoda; Lithobiomorpha; Lithobiidae. The record is from RNAcentral.